AUUGAACGCUGGCGGCAGGCUUAACACAUGCAAGUCGAGCGGAGUGAUGGUGCUUGCACUAUCACUUAGCGGCGGACGGGUGAGUAAUGCUUAGGAAUCUGCCUAUUAGUGGGGGACAACAUCUCGAAAGGGAUGCUAAUACCGCAUACGUCCUACGGGAAAAAGCAGGGGAUCACUGGUGACCUUGCGCUAAUAGAUGAGCCUAAGUCGGAUUAGCUAGUUGGUGGGGUAAAGGCCUACCAAGGCGACGAUCUGUAGCGGGUCUGAGAGGAUGAUCCGCCACACUGGGACUGAGACACGGCCCAGACUCCUACGGGAGGCAGCAGUGGGGAAUAUUGGACAAUGGGGGGAACCCUGAUCCAGCCAUGCCGCGUGUGUGAAGAAGGCCUUAUGGUUGUAAAGCACUUUAAGCGAGGAGGAGGCUCUUUUGGUUAAUACCCAAGAUGAGUGGACGUUACUCGCAGAAUAAGCACCGGCUAACUUUGUGCCAGCAGCCGCGGUAA
This 503-nucleotide ribosomal RNA is filed under the name uncultured bacterium. Its description in RNAcentral is "partial 16S ribosomal RNA". It matches the Rfam family "Bacterial small subunit ribosomal RNA", at positions 30 to 523 of the family's 1533-position model. The record is from RNAcentral.